GGGGGUGUAGCUCAGAUGGUAGAGCGCUCACUUAGCAUGCGAGAGGUAAAGGGAUUGAUACCCUUCUCCAAUA
RNAcentral lists this transfer RNA (73 nucleotides) under Acanthamoeba castellanii str. Neff. It matches the Rfam family "tRNA". From Rfam's summary of the family: Transfer RNA (tRNA) molecules are approximately 80 nucleotides in length. Their secondary structure includes four short double-helical elements and three loops (D, anti-codon, and T loops). The record is from Rfam by way of RNAcentral. Lineage: Eukaryota; Discosea; Longamoebia; Acanthamoebidae.